Molecule: ribosomal RNA, 346 nt
Filed under: uncultured Glomus
Lineage: Eukaryota; Fungi; Glomeromycota; Glomeromycetes; Glomerales; Glomeraceae
Description: SSU rRNA
Rfam family: Eukaryotic small subunit ribosomal RNA
Source: RNAcentral
AGCAGCCGCGGUAAUUCCAGCUCCAAUAGCGUAUAUUAAAGUUGUUGCAGUUAAAAAGCUCGUAGUUGAAUUUCGGGACUAAUAUGUCGGUCGUACUUUGUACGUACUAGCAUUAUUGGUUUCUCCCUUCUGACGAACCACGAUGUCAUUAAUUUGGUGUCAUGGGAAAUCAGGACUGUUACUUUGAAAAAAUUAGAGUGUUUAAAGCAAGCUCGCGCUUGAAUACAUUAGCAUGGAAUAAUGAAAUAGGACGUUUGAUUCUAUUUUGUUGGUUCUAGGAUCGACGUAAUGAUUAAUAGGGAUAGUUGGGGCAUUAGUAUUCAAUUGUCAGAGGUGAAAUUCUUGG